UACGUAGGGUGCAAGCGUUAAUCGGAAUUACUGGGCGUAAAGCGCACGUAGGCGGAUUGUUAAGUCGGGGGUGAAAUCCUGGAGCUCAACUCCAGAACUGCCUUCGAUACUGGCGAUCUCGAGUUCGGGAGAGGUGAGCGGAACUGCGAGUGUAGAGGUGAAAUUCGUAGAUAUUCGCAAGAACACCAGUGGCGAAGGCGGCUCACUGGCCCGAUACUGACGCUGAGGCACGAAAGCGUGGGUAGCAAACAGG
RNAcentral lists this ribosomal RNA (253 nucleotides) under uncultured bacterium. RNAcentral's name for it is "partial 16S ribosomal RNA". It matches the Rfam family "Bacterial small subunit ribosomal RNA", at positions 524 to 776 of the family's 1533-position model. The record is from RNAcentral.